AGGAGCCACACACUAAUUCUUUCUUUCUAGACAGAAAUAUGAAGUCAUCCAUGUCUGUAAUACUUGUGGUUGAUGCAAAGGCUUGGGUAGCAAACCUGAAUUAGAAGGCUCAAGUAAAUAGUGACCUCUUUGUUUCAUCAAAGCUUGUCUCCAACACCAAUGCAGAAGAAUGAUAAAAACACCAUGAUCUCCAGAUGGGCAAGUACCAGCUUCCAUGAGGAGGAAGUCUUUGGUUGGUUGGAGUCUCGCCAAAAUUCC
This 258-nucleotide long non-coding RNA is filed under the name Cricetulus griseus (Chinese hamster). Its description in RNAcentral is "lncRNA (ENSCGRG00000026255.1)". The record is from RNAcentral. Lineage: Eukaryota; Metazoa; Chordata; Mammalia; Rodentia; Cricetidae.